RNAcentral lists this ribosomal RNA (460 nucleotides) under uncultured bacterium. Its description in RNAcentral is "partial 16S ribosomal RNA". It matches the Rfam family "Bacterial small subunit ribosomal RNA", at positions 338 to 795 of the family's 1533-position model. The record is from RNAcentral.
CCUACGGGAGGCAGCAGUGAGGAAUAUUGGUCAAUGGGCGAAAGCCUGAACCAGCCACGUCGCGUGAAGGAUGAAUGCCCUACGGGUUGUAAACUUCUUUUAUAUGGGAAUAAAACAGAGAAAGCAUACCCCAUUGUAUGUACCCUACGAAUAAGGGUCGGCUAACUCCGUGCCAGCAGCCGCGGGAAUACGGAGGGUCCGUGCGUUAUCCGGAUUUAUUGGGAUUAAAGUGUGCGUAGGUGGUUUGUUAAGUCUGGUGUGAAAGUUGGCGGCUCAACCGGAGCACUGCAGUUGAAACUGGCAGACUUGAGUACAGUAGAGGCAGGCGGAAUUCGUGGUGUAGCGGUGAAAUGCGUAGAUAUCACGAGGAACUCCGAUGGCGAAGGCAGCUCACUGGACUGCAACUGACGCUGAGGCUCGAAAGUGAGGGUAGCAAACAGGAUUAGAUACCCCAGUAGUC